CACACACAUAUAUAUUUUUUAAGUUACAGAAUAGUAUUGCCUCAAUAAGUCAUCAUAUUAAAAACCAGGAAGCCAAACGUGACUAUUAGAAAACCCCCCACUCUAGCUGAAACAGAAGUAGGAUCAUUUGGUGAAACAGCCAGUUCCGGCCAACAGCCGCUACCACUCCAGAGCUGAUAAACGGCAGCCUGGACGUCAGGCUGAUAAGACGAGCGCAGAAACAUGGAGCCUGAAGCCAAAUAAUUUCCCCGUCCAAGGCAGCAUAGAGGUUUCCUGUGAAGAGGUUUUUUCCUGCGGGCUUUGCUCUUGCAUCUUGUGAAGACGCAGAUCCAGCUCAAAACCACCCUGGGACUCAGCACGGAUGGGAUGGAGUCCUCCCCCCCAGGAACCAGGAGCCCCUCCCAUUAACCUCCACAUCACCACUUCCUCGGUUUUGAUGCUCCCCACCUUCCCCUUCUUUUUGGCCCAAUGAACACUGACAGACGGCUAUUGAAGACAGUUACUCUUUGGAUUUAGUCCUAACUUGGCCCUGGGCGAGUGGACAUGGUCUCCUUGUGUUCCUGUGGUUUUCCUCCUGUCCACCAAAGCCAUCCUAUGGAUGGCCUGUGGUGGACUGGCGUUUCACCCAGGCUGUUCCAUGUCUUGAGGGCCGUGAUGACCAUGAUGACUCUGACUAGCUCCAGAUUCCCAGCGACACUAAUUAAAUAAGUGGUCAUUAAAAUUGCAUACAUUGA
Molecule: long non-coding RNA, 734 nt
Organism: Paramormyrops kingsleyae
Lineage: Eukaryota; Metazoa; Chordata; Actinopteri; Osteoglossiformes; Mormyridae
Source: RefSeq, a predicted model, not a curated record